This 371-nucleotide transfer-messenger RNA is filed under the name Anaerovoracaceae. RNAcentral's name for it is "Fimisoma sp900542295 Standard tmRNA". It matches the Rfam family "transfer-messenger RNA". From Rfam's summary of the family: Bacterial tmRNA, also known as 10Sa RNA or SsrA, is named for its dual tRNA and mRNA-like properties. Its role is to liberate the mRNA from a stalled ribosome. To accomplish this part of the tmRNA is used as a reading frame that ends in a translation stop signal. Lineage: Bacteria; Bacillati; Bacillota; Clostridia; Peptostreptococcales. RNAcentral also lists the same sequence under 4 other names. The record is from RNAcentral.
GGGGGUGUAAAGGUUUCGACGGGGGUGUGGAACCAAAAUAAGCGAGCGGUAGUUUGCCGGUCUACCUUAAAAAGGCACGUUAAAUAUAAACGCUAAAAAUAAUAACAAUUUCGCACCAAUGGCUCUGGCUGCUUAGUCAGUCAUAAGCUGUGCGUGUCGGCUCAAGUUUACCUGUAGGCUUGAAGUCCGGCAUCGAAUAUACAGGCAAACUCUGUGCAGGCGCCCGGGGGCACAGGGGAACGACGGGAUAGUCGAGGCUGCAGCUUGUCAGUGAGCGGCGGCUUAGGCGAAGUUUAAAACAUUGACUGCGCUCGGAGAAAAUUUUGCGGAAAUGCUUUCGGACGCGAGUUCGACUCUCGCCAUCUCCACCA